This 4256-nucleotide long non-coding RNA is filed under the name Sus scrofa (pig). RNAcentral's name for it is "lncRNA (ENSSSCG00065061184.1)". Lineage: Eukaryota; Metazoa; Chordata; Mammalia; Artiodactyla; Suidae. The record is from RNAcentral.
ACUCAAGUCUCACUUCCUGAGUGUUAAUUGCACUGGCUUCAAAAGCAUCUGGCAGGGCUUGCCUUGGAUGACUGAUGGAGUCCAUCUCCUGGAGCUGGGGGGCCUGGGGAACUGCCACCACUCUCCCCCCUGAAUACAGCUCAGCAGAACCAGCUGGGACACAGCUGCAUCCCAGCUGUCAGCCUUGAUUUCCUAUGGCUACACUAAAAACAAUCACCCCAGCUCGAUCACAUGACAAAUCAAUCUAAACUGCUAUGGGUAGGACUCACUAAACAUUAGAAAUUAAAAUGUGCCAAGAAUUCAGAAAGACUAUUGGCAUAAAGAAUUAUAUUUGUGGCUGUGGCAUCAUGCAUCCCAUAUGCACACCUCAUCUGAGUGUUACAUAGACCAAAGGCUGAUCAUGUUUUGCGGAGAGGCAUAAAUAGUAUGUUGGCCAAUUGAAGAAAGCGAGAAAUCUAUGGUUAAAAACUAUAUUGACAUAAAUGCCAUUAACGGCAAGUAAUUAUCAUAUCAACACUCAGAAAAACGCUUUCCUCACAGCUCACCAGACCACAUGCUCUCAAGAGCAGGGGACAUAGUUCACCAGUUUUUCUGACAUCAGUCCUAGCACAUAGCAGGUGCUCAAUAAAUACUUUCUGAAGGAAUGAGAAAGGAAACUGGGGCAGCAUAUAUACGGUCAGUUAUACAAACAGUUAAAUCUCCCCUAAAUAGGUAACAAUUUAUCCAGAGAAUGGGACAAUUCUCCGUGUGAUCCAGAGAAAGCAAGGGGCAGAAUAUUCCUAGUUUCCACAGCCUAUCCCUUCAAGCACUCAUAGAAUGAGUGCUCAAGAACAUUCUGAUCCAAAAGAAGAAUAUUUUUGGUAUCUGGAGCUGAAGCAGGAGAAAAAGGAAGAAAGCAUUCAGAGGAGUUAACAGAAGCAGUUUCAGAACUAAGAAGCAAGUGUUCUCACCAAUAAAAUCACUGGUGAGCUCGCAGCUUACUUUCAACAAUGCCAAGUGCUUCGGGAAAUGUCUUCAGACAGGUGGGGAACUUGCUGGUGCCUCUACACUGCUGCCUGCCUCACUUGCUUUGCAGAAGUUAUCCUGCCUAGGAGUUGCCAUGUGACCAUCAGAGCCCAUUUACUCAUUCACAUCGAUUAUAUGUAAAUUAUAAGAGGUAACUGGGGAAAAUAAUCAAGAUGGACUUAUUUUCCUAGCACUUUUCAGAGAAAAUGUUGAGUCUCAAGUAGGGACCCCUGCCUGUCAGAGUGGCUGUCAAAAAGAACACACAUAACAAAUGUUGGUGAAGACAGGAGAAAAGGGAAUCCUUGUCCACCACUGGUGGGAAUGUAAACUGGUGCAGCCACUGUGGAAAAGAGUGUGGAAGUUUCUCAAAAAAACUAAAGACAGAUGCACCCCAAUGUUCACAGCAACAUUAUUUACAAUUGCCAAGAUAUGGAAAUACCUAAGUGUCCACUGACAAAUAAUUGGAUUAGAAAGAUGUGGAUGCAAUACGACUCAGCCAUAAAAAGGAAUGAAAUUUUGCCAUUUGCAACAACAAGGAUGGACUUGGAGGGCAUUAUGCUAAGUGAAUUAACUCAGAGAAAGAAAUACUGGAUGACAUCAUUUCUACGUGGAAUCCAAAAAAUACAACAAACUAGUGAAUAUAACAAAAAGAAAUAGACUCACAGAUAUAGAGAACAAAUUAAUGAUUACCAGUGGGGAGAGGGAAGGGGGAAAGGCAAGAUAGGGGUAGAGGAGUGAGAGGAACAAACUAUUAUGUAUAAAAUAAGGUACAUAGGUAUAUUGUACAACACAGAUACUAUAGCCUAUAUUUUACAAUAGAUAUAAAUGGUGCAUAAACUUUAAAAACUGUGAAUCACUAUACUGUAUACCUGUAACAUAAAAUAUUGUAUAUCAACUAUACUUCAAUUAAAUAAAUAACGUGGUGAGUACUGAGAUUUUGUUCUUAUUUCCAAAUGUGGCUUUAUAAAUGGCAAACUAUGGGAUCUCCAGCAUGUUCUUGUGACUCAAUCUGAAAACACAUCCAUGUACUUAGCUGGAGAGACCAGAUAUGGGACCAUUUGCUGGUCUUCUAGAGACCUGGGUUCAGAUUCUCCAGAAGGGGUAACAGGAUCUACCCUGUGAUAAGGUGGGUAAACACGGAAGGAGGGCUACAGAUGUAUACAGCGUGAGUCAAGUGACUCCUUAACCUCAGCCAAGGGAGAGGUUGUGGACCUGUAUCCUGAAUGAUAGAAAAUAAAGAAGGUGCUGAGGGGAUAGCAAGCAGGAUCUCAAAAGAAAGCAACUGAGACCUCAGUGAAUCAUGAAAGGCCAUUGAUAAAUGGAGUUGAAAACAUAAAAAUUCCAUCUUGGGAGAGGCUCAAGAAACCAAGGCCGUAAGAGUGCAACAUUUAACUAGGAUUCCUACUGCUAACUGAAUGUCCUGUAGGAGCUUAUGCUGUGGAUAGGUUAUGCUUCAACAGUAAAACUCCACGGCCUUUUUAAAAAUGCCUUUAAAGGCAGUUCCACGUGGAGGGCUCAGCAGAGAUCCUACUGUGAGCUACCAUCUAGCUUCAGAGUCAGAAGACAGCAGAGUGAAGCUUUUCAGCAGUAACGGGGGUUUUAGGUAGGCAAAAUAAAGGAACACACACCCAAACAAAGGGGGUCUUGGGGGGCAGGGAGGAGCAUCACACAGGUAACCUAACUUGAAUGCUUGGAAAGUACAAAGUAAAAUCAUGAAUCAAAGGCCUAUGAACAUCACAGGUCUUAUCACCUCCCAUGCUCUGAGUAUGGCAUGGGAGGUAAUGGCUCCUUUCUUGCCAUUUCAGGAGACCGUGGCAGCCCCUCUGGCAGCCUGCCCAGGGUGGUCUUUCCCCUUUGGCAUGUUGGCAGGAACAGAGAGGGACUGGGUAAAGGGAAGUGGUUUGGUGAACAAUGCUAGAUUUGCAGUUUAACCAAAACCAAAGUACUCAGAAUGGCAUUGUCGUGGCGUUGUACUGUAUUUACUUCCCAGAAAAGAAAGAACUGCCACACAUUUGAUAUGUGAAAAGAAGCCUUGAAAGCAGACACCUACUCACCAAGAGCAAAUAAUAAUUUAAGAUGAAUGAACGGAAAAGACAUGCAACAGCACGACCACAUGAGAGCUUUUGUGUAUGUAAAUUUGCUUGCUUUUCAAACCAGUGAUAUCCUGUUUCUGAAAACUUAUUCCUAGCCUCUAUUCUACUCUAAUAGAACCCCAUCAGUUUCUGACAGCUCCUUCCCUAACAGCUGUCUUUCAUUUAAUUUCAUUUAGUGUGCAAACCGUUUCAAGUUGCAUGCACAAGCAUACUGUGAAGAAUUCAUUUUCUCUAGUUUCCUGGCGACGAUAAAAGAAUUUAAUAAUAAAAAAAAGUUGAACUUUGGCCUGAAAUGUUGCUGUCCUGCCGAAAUGGUGAAUUAUACAAGUGGAAGUGAUCCAAAGGUUAUUUGGCCCACCCCCUACCAUGCCAAAGAGCCUAAACAGAUCCUUUCAUGUAAUUAUCUUACUUGUCCUUUUCAAAUCUUGUAGGAAGACUUCUACAUUCUCACUAAAUACAUUUGGUCCAGACCUUGAUAAUUUGAAGAAUGAACUUCCCUGGGGAUAAGCACACGUGGGGUGAGGGCGGGAGGUUGGGGGAGGAUUUACAGCUCACGAACUGGAACAAGUCAGAAUAUAGAAUUAAAAAAACAAGUAUGAUCCUAGAAUGUAUAUACAGGAGAAGAUCGGGAAAGACCUUUUGUAAAGGAAGCUCAGGUCUUGAAGGAAAGGGACAUGAUAUGGCAUAAUAGUUUAAAUCAUGAGCUUUAGAGUUUAAUAGCCAAUGGAUUCAAAACCAAUGCUAUUCUAAGCCAGUUCUCUUAUCUUCAAAAUGGGUGUUAACUACAACAUUUAUUGAGUUCUUGCUAUAUUUCAAACACUAUUCUAAGUGCUUUACAUUUGUUAACUUACAGAGAAAUGCUUAUAUUACAGAACUGUAUAGAUUAAAUAAAACAAUGUACUGAAAGUGCCUAGCAAAAUUCGUGUGUUCAAUAAAUGGUAAUAAUUCUUACUUUUGCUCAUGAAGACCUAAAUCGAACAUCAACAAGAUGUUGGCAUACCAAGUCCUAAAAAGAAAUUAAAAUAAGCAAUGCCGCCUUGCUCCCUCCUCACUUUCCCUCCAUCCAAUGUGAGGAGGCAGCUGAGAAAAAGGAAAUUCAGUUUUGUCCUUUAACCAAAGUGAUAAUGGUAAAAAGAGGGGAUUAUGGAGUAGUAUGAA